UGUGCUCUUUGGGAUCUGGCUCAUUUAAUGUUGCAAUCGGUAAUUCACGGCCAUCUCUUGAUCAAGCCACAGGACUGUGUGGAUGACACAGGUUAUCGAAGGAAGAUGUGUUAAGUAAGAGGGUUUUUAAGAAGCAGAGAAAAUGCAGAGCAAAUGGGCUUGAGCUUGGAUAUGGAAUUCUCUAAUGAUGAAGCUUUAGCGUUGGCUUCUAAAUUGUUCCCUUGUCUUUUGUAGCAGCACGUUCAUCAUGUUUGGAAGCCUGUUCCACUAGUGAUGGAGAGUAUGAUCUCAAUGAGUCCAUAUACCUGUGACCCAGCGGAGCGCUGACUGGCCUAGACUGGCUUCACCGGCAUAGCUCUGCGGACACUGGGCAAACUUGCAUCUUCAGGAUAUCCAAGCUGCUGCGAUUGUUAAUUCCCAUUAUCAGGCCCACUGGACUAAGGAAUGCUCGGCCUUAGGCACGCCUUUGAGUGUAUCUAUAAGAACACCAGACAGGAUUAACUGAAGAACAAAGGGCGUGCCCUGAGUGUGGGCACCACCAUCCCAGAGGGAGUGCAUCUUGGACUGAACAAAAAGGGAAAAAGAAGAAAGCCAACUGAGUGGUUUAUUCUCCCUCUGGUUCCCCAACCUGUGGCGAUGUCCAGCCACAUACUCUCUACUGACUUGGCCACGGUGGACUGUGCCUUCAAACCACACCACAAAAUAAACCCUUUCUACCAGAAA
This is a long non-coding RNA of Mesocricetus auratus (golden hamster), 723 nucleotides long. RefSeq lists it as uncharacterized. NCBI's taxonomy places the organism in Eukaryota, Metazoa, Chordata, Mammalia, Rodentia, Cricetidae. The transcript has 3 exons. The record is from RefSeq and is a predicted model, not a curated record.